RNAcentral lists this ribosomal RNA (253 nucleotides) under uncultured bacterium. RNAcentral's name for it is "partial 16S ribosomal RNA". It matches the Rfam family "Bacterial small subunit ribosomal RNA", at positions 524 to 776 of the family's 1533-position model. The record is from RNAcentral.
UACGUAGGUGGCAAGCGUUGUCCGGAUUUAUUGGGCGUAAAGCGCGCGCAGGCGGUGCGGUAAGUCUCUGGUGAAAGCGCUCGGCUUAACUGGGCGAGGGCCGGGGAGACUGCCACGCUGGAGGGGAGCAGAGGCGAGUGGAAUUCCGGGUGUAGUGGUGAAAUGCGUAGAGAUCCGGAGGAACACCAGUGGCGAAGGCGGCUUCCUGGACCAAUACUGACGAUCAGGUGCGAAAGCGUGGGGAGCAAACAGG